This 253-nucleotide ribosomal RNA is filed under the name uncultured bacterium. Its description in RNAcentral is "partial 16S ribosomal RNA". It matches the Rfam family "Bacterial small subunit ribosomal RNA", at positions 524 to 776 of the family's 1533-position model. The record is from RNAcentral.
UACGUAGGUGGCAAGCGUUGUCCGGAAUUAUUGGGCGUAAAGCGCGCGCAGGCGGCCUUUUAAGUCUGAUGUGAAAUCUUGCGGCUCAACCGCAAGCGGUCAUUGGAAACUGGGAGGCUUGAGUACAGAAGGGGAGAGUGGAAUUCCACGUGUAGCGGUGAAAUGCGUAGAUAUGUGGAGGAACACCAGUGGCGAAGGCGACUCUCUGGUCUGUAACUGACGCUGAGGCGCGAAAGCGUGGGGAGCAAACAGG